UUAUUUUAGAUUUUACAUAUGUUUGGCUUGUCCACAAGGUCGAUUUGCAAAUCCAGGAGCUUCCUCAUUGGAUGCAUGUAAAAUACCCGUAAUAGUAAAGAUAUUUACGCCUCCACUUGUUUAUGCCACGGUGGGAA
Molecule: long non-coding RNA, 137 nt
Organism: Limulus polyphemus (Atlantic horseshoe crab)
Lineage: Eukaryota; Metazoa; Arthropoda; Merostomata; Xiphosura; Limulidae
Exons: 2
Source: RefSeq, a predicted model, not a curated record